Molecule: ribosomal RNA, 492 nt
Filed under: uncultured bacterium
Lineage: Bacteria
Description: partial 16S ribosomal RNA
Rfam family: Bacterial small subunit ribosomal RNA
Source: RNAcentral
AGUGAACGCUGGCGGUAGGCCUAACACAUGCAAGUCGAACGGCAGCACAGUAAGAGCUUGCUCUUACGGGUGGCGAGUGGCGGACGGGUGAGGAAUACAUCGGAAUCUACUUUUUCGUGGGGGAUAACGUAGGGAAACUUACGCUAAUACCGCAUACGACCUACGGGUGAAAGCAGGGGAUCUUCGGACCUUGCGCGAUUGAAUGAGCCGAUGUCGGAUUAGCUAGUUGGCGGGGUAAAGGCCCACCAAGGCGACGAUCCGUAGCUGGUCUGAGAGGAUGGUCAGCCACACUGGAACUGAGACACGGUCCAGACUCCUACGGGAGGCAGCAGUGGGGAAUAUUGGACAAUAGGCGCAAGCCUGAUCCAGCCAUACCGCGUGGGUGGAGAAGGCCUUCGGGUUGUAAAGCCCUUUUGUUGGGAAAGAAAAGCAGCAGGUUAAUACCCCGCUGUUCUGACGGUACCCAAAGAAUAAGCACCGGCUAACUUCGUG